This 253-nucleotide ribosomal RNA is filed under the name uncultured bacterium. RNAcentral describes it as "partial 16S ribosomal RNA". It matches the Rfam family "Bacterial small subunit ribosomal RNA", at positions 524 to 776 of the family's 1533-position model. The record is from RNAcentral.
UACGUAGGGUGCAAGCGUUGUCCGGAAUUAUUGGGCGUAAAGAGCUCGUAGGCGGUCUGUCGCGUCUGCUGUGAAAACCUGGGGCUUAACCCCGGGCCUGCAGUGGGUACGGGCAGACUAGAGUGUGGUAGGGGAGACUGGAAUUCCUGGUGUAGCGGUGAAAUGCGCAGAUAUCAGGAGGAACACCGGUGGCGAAGGCGGGACUCUGGGCCGAUACUGACGCUGAGGAGCGAAAGCGUGGGGAGCAAACAGG